UUCAAACAUUUUAUGGAGCGUUACUUUAGAUUCUAGUACUACAACAUCAUUUGAUAUCCUUGUCUGGUUUUCUGCUUCUGGAACAAGCAUUGUUUAAAAUAACUAUAACAUUGAAUACACUACUGACGGGAGCCUAACCUUAAAAUAUGUAGCUCUAAACAAUACUGGAGUUUACAAAAUCUUUGUAACAUACAAAGCAACGUCACCUGGGGACGCAACUACUGAGGAUACUGUUAAAGUGACUAUACAAGAAAUCCCUGACUGCUAUUGCUGCAAAGACAAAAAGACGAGGGAUAGUGUUUGCGGGACAUUCUUAGCAGUGUACAUUUGCGCAAUGGCUGUGUUAGUGUUUCGCGGUUAUAGAGUCUUUCCUCCAAAUCAGCCAAUAACAACAGUACUAUUGAUUUGCGCAAUAAUUCUCUUCAUUGUUGCAUUGACUGGGUUGAUUUUUAGUGCCAUCUGUCUGAGCAAAGCAAAGAACUGCUUUAAAGACGACACCAUUGCAGGAUUCAGUAUGGCAGGAAUCAGUGUAGUUGGAACAAUUGUAGUAGGAAUUCUGAUUUUCCUUAAUCAUGGAGAACCUGGU
Long non-coding RNA from Mya arenaria, 586 nucleotides. RefSeq lists it as uncharacterized. The transcript has 4 exons. Lineage: Eukaryota; Metazoa; Mollusca; Bivalvia; Myida; Myidae. The record is from RefSeq and is a predicted model, not a curated record.